AAGAUGUGUAUGUAUACCAAGUCUGGUUGUGCUAGGUCAAUUAGGGGCCGAGUUAUAGAGCGGAAGGGAAAUAUGAUCAAGAUCAAGGUCAAAUAAAGGUCGCAGUGACCUGGU
Molecule: long non-coding RNA, 114 nt
Organism: Priapulus caudatus
Lineage: Eukaryota; Metazoa; Priapulida; Priapulimorpha; Priapulimorphida; Priapulidae
Exons: 3
Source: RefSeq, a predicted model, not a curated record